CUCAUGGCCCUUAUGCCUUAGGGCUACACACGUGCUACAAUGGGUGGUACAAAGAGAAGCCAACUCGCGAGAGCGCGCCAAUCUCAAAAAGCCAUCCUCAGUUCGGAUUGGAGUCUGCAACUCGACUCCAUGAAGUUGGAAUCGCUAGUAAUCGCGGAUCAGCAUGCCGCGGUGAAUACGUUCCCGGGCCUU
RNAcentral lists this ribosomal RNA (192 nucleotides) under uncultured Smithella sp. Its description in RNAcentral is "partial 16S ribosomal RNA". It matches the Rfam family "Bacterial small subunit ribosomal RNA", at positions 1192 to 1382 of the family's 1533-position model. Lineage: Bacteria; Pseudomonadati; Thermodesulfobacteriota; Syntrophia; Syntrophales; Smithellaceae. The record is from RNAcentral.